Carassius gibelio (silver crucian carp) is the source of this 1029-nucleotide long non-coding RNA. RefSeq lists it as uncharacterized. The transcript is spliced from 2 exons. NCBI's taxonomy places the organism in Eukaryota, Metazoa, Chordata, Actinopteri, Cypriniformes, Cyprinidae. The record is from RefSeq and is a predicted model, not a curated record.
UGAGUGGAACUGUUCCUCAGGGGGUCUAUAGUGCACGGUCUAAUGUGAUACUGUAGCUGACGGCUGAAUGGUUGCAAUUUUAUCUCUAAUAGUAUCGAUUUUAGAAGUAAAGUAGUUCAUAAAGUCAUUACUGCUGUGAUGUUGGGCAUAUGUUUCUUUUCUUCUUCUAAAAGAGACCAAUAGUAUGAAGCUUGGCAUACUACAUCUGUCAGGGAUCUGGCAAGCCCAGUCGCCACCAAUCACCAACACUCACAGUCAUCUGAUUACUAACAAGCCACACCUGCCACGCAUCACGGAACCAAUCAAGGACACCAUAAAAGCACUCACCUGUACCUCAGGUCCCUAACCGUGGAUCACCGUGCAAUGUCAAGUGUUUCGACGGUCACUUGGUCUCCUGUGAGUACCCCUAGCUGGUACUGUCUUUGGCUUAUAAGAAGGAAGAGCACAUUAAUGAGCGAUCAAUGACUGUGGCUUUGACCUCUGUGUUCCAAACAAACUCACCUGUGUUAUUCCCCGCUCCAUGUGAAUUCCAUACAAGCCUGCACUAGAAGAUCGAAGCUUCACCGAGCACUAAGGAACCGAAAACACUUAGCACUUGAAACUUUAUUAAAUCAACACCGUUCUGAAUUCACCUUUUACAUCUGUGUCAUGAGUCCUACCUGAUAACAUCCUGGUUGGACCACUGUAUAUCUACAGAUGAUGCACAUUGUAUAAAGGAGGCUGAGAUCCUAUAUUGGUUUGGCUACAGCCGACCAUAUUCCUGUCUCUAUGUUCAUAAGUGUUAACGGUCUACCUGAGCUUGUUUGUAGUGACAGUCAUAAAUCAGGUGAGAUACUAGACUGUGCAAGGUUACUGACUGAUGUGCACUUUAGAGAUAUUGAGGUACCUGUUGAUGCAAUUAUGUGUGUGGAUGCAGAUGUAAGAAUGUAAGUCACAAUGACCUUUUUGCACUGUAUGAUAGAAUUGUGAACCGUUUAGUUGAUGGAAGUGAACCACUAAGAAGUAAAGUAGGGAAACAACAUAUUGUAA